CCUACGGGAGGCAGCAGUGGGGAAUCUUGGGCAAUGGGCGAAAGCCUGACCCAGCAACGCCGCGUGGAGGAUGAAGCCCUUCGGGGUGUAAACUCCUGUCAGGCGGGACGAAUCCUUCGUUCCUGAAUAGGGGACGGGGUUGACGGUACCGCCAGAGGAAGCCCCGGCUAACUACGUGCCAGCAGCCGCGGUAAUACGUAGGGGGCGAGCGUUGUUCGGAAUUACUGGGCGUAAAGGGCGGGUAGGUGGCCUUGAAAGACAGGGGUAAAAUCCUCGGGCUUAACCGGAGAAGGGCGUUUGAUACUGCAAGGCUUGAGUGCGGGAGAGGAGAGUGGAAUUCCGGGUGGAGCGGUAAAAUGCGUAGAUAUCGGGAAGAACACCGGUGGCGAAGGCGGCUCUCUGGACCGCAACUGACACUGAGACGCGAAAGCUAGGGGAGCAAACGGGAUUAGAUACCCUUGUAGU
RNAcentral lists this ribosomal RNA (465 nucleotides) under uncultured delta proteobacterium. Its description in RNAcentral is "partial 16S ribosomal RNA". It matches the Rfam family "Bacterial small subunit ribosomal RNA", at positions 338 to 794 of the family's 1533-position model. The record is from RNAcentral. Lineage: Bacteria; Deltaproteobacteria.